AUGAAAAGCACUUUGAAAAGAGGGUGAGAAGAACCUGAAACCGUCAUGGGGGAAGCGGAUUGCGUUAAACCGGUGGCUGCGUGCGUGUUCAGCCCUUUUGGGUGCAUUGGCGCGCGCGGUUACCCGCCGUGGGCUUUCGGUGGGCGAUUUUGGUCCACUGGGGGCUGAGGGAUCCCUUUUAUAGGUGAGGACGGCGGGGUGAUGACGCGAUACGACCCGUCUUGAAACACGGACCAAGGAGUCUAGCGCGCCUGCGAGUCGAAGGGUGGUGAAACCUGGAGGCGCAGUGAAAGCAAAUUAUGAAACAUUAACAAGUUGAGGCGGCAUAAGGUCGUUGACCUUAAGUCUGACCCGGAGCAGUUGCGCUGGGACCCGAAAGAUGGUGAACUAUGCCGGAGUAGGGCAAAGCCAGAGGAAACUCUGGUGGAGGCUCGUAGCGGUGCUGACGUGCAAAUCGCUCGUCCAACUUGGGUAUAGGGGCGAAAGACUAAUCGAACCAUCUAGUAGCUGGUUCCCUCCGAAGUUUCUCUCAGGAUAGCGGGCCGACAAUUGUGUUGUUUUGUGC
RNAcentral lists this ribosomal RNA (565 nucleotides) under Peyssonnelia sp. 3inamoenaOz. RNAcentral describes it as "eukaryotic LSU rRNA". It matches the Rfam family "Eukaryotic large subunit ribosomal RNA", at positions 364 to 1006 of the family's 3401-position model. Lineage: Eukaryota; Rhodophyta; Florideophyceae; Peyssonneliales; Peyssonneliaceae. The record is from RNAcentral.